Molecule: ribosomal RNA, 431 nt
Filed under: uncultured bacterium
Lineage: Bacteria
Description: partial 16S ribosomal RNA
Rfam family: Bacterial small subunit ribosomal RNA
Source: RNAcentral
AGCGAACGCUGGCGGCAGGCUUAACACAUGCAAGUCGAGCGCCCCGCAAGGGGAGCGGCCGACGGGAGAGUAACACGUGGGAACAUACCUUUUGGUUCGGAACAACUGAGGGACACUUCAGCUAAUACCGGAUAAGCCCUUACGGGGAAAGAUUUAUCGCCGAAAGAUUGGCCCGCGUCUGAUUAGCUAGUUGGUGAGGUAACGGCUCACCAAGGCGACGAUCAGUAGCUGGUCUGAGAGGAUGAUCAGCCUCACUGGGACUGAGACACGGCCCAGACUCCUACGGGAGGCAGCAGUUAAGAAUAUUGGACAAUGGGGGCAACCCUGAUCCAGCCAUGCCGCGUGAGUGAUGAAGGCCUUAGGGUUGUAAAGCUCUUUUGCCCGGGAAGAUAAUGACGGUACCGGGAGAAUAAGCCCCGGCUAACUUCGUG